UACGUAGGGGGCGAGCGUUGUCCGGAUUUACUGGGCGUAAAGCGCGUGUAGGCGGCUUCUUAAGUCGGGUGUGAAAGCCCGGGGCUCAACCCCGGGAUGCCGCCCGAGACUGGGAGGCUUGAGGUCGGAAGAGGGGAGUGGAAUUCCGGGUGUAGCGGUGAAAUGCGUAGAGAUCUGGAGGAACACCCGUGGCGAAGGCGGCUCCCUGGUCCGGUUCUGACGCUGAGACGCGAAAGCGCGGGGAGCGAACGGG
RNAcentral lists this ribosomal RNA (253 nucleotides) under uncultured bacterium. RNAcentral describes it as "partial 16S ribosomal RNA". It matches the Rfam family "Bacterial small subunit ribosomal RNA", at positions 524 to 776 of the family's 1533-position model. The record is from RNAcentral.